AGAGAUGUAUGGAAACAAGGACGGGUCCAUCCCUGCCACCUUUGAGAUCCUCUACAUGAUUGGCUGGAAGCCUCAUGAAUCACAGGCCAAACCAGCGAAGCGAGGCUCAGCCACUGUGUCGUUUGGGGAUUUGUCAAACAUCAGUCAGCCAACCAACACAAAGAAGUCAUAGAAACAUCUGAACCACUGAUCAGCUGACACACUGAAGAUUGUAAAUACUAUAUUUUAUUUAAACACCUGUUUUGUAGCCAGACUAAGUAUAAGCAAUGUGUUGUAAUAUUAUUCUCUGGAAAUAAAGCUGAACAGAGAA
Long non-coding RNA from Scomber japonicus (chub mackerel), 310 nucleotides. RefSeq lists it as uncharacterized. NCBI's taxonomy places the organism in Eukaryota, Metazoa, Chordata, Actinopteri, Scombriformes, Scombridae. The record is from RefSeq and is a predicted model, not a curated record. The transcript is spliced from 2 exons.